GUGAUGGUGUGUAGUGGUAGUGUGUGGUGAUGGUGUGUAGUGGUAGUGUGUGGUGAUGGUGUGUAGUUGUAGUGUGUGUGUCUGGUGAUGGUGUGUAGUGGUAGUGUGUGGUGAUGGUGUGUAGUUGUAGUGUGUGCUGAUGGUGUGUAGUGGAAGUGUGUGGUGAUUGUGUGUAGUGGUAGUGUGUGUGUGUGUUGAUGGUGUGUAGUGGUAGUGUGUGUGUGUGUGUGUGUGUGGUGAUGGUGUGUAGUGGUAGUGUGUGGUGAUGGUGUGUAGUGUGUGUAUGUGUGUGGUGAUGGUGUGUAGUGGUAGUGUGUGGUGAUGGUGUGUAUGGUGUGGUAGUGUGUGGUGAUGGUGUGUAGUG
This is a long non-coding RNA of Oncorhynchus tshawytscha (Chinook salmon), 364 nucleotides long. NCBI's taxonomy places the organism in Eukaryota, Metazoa, Chordata, Actinopteri, Salmoniformes, Salmonidae. The record is from Ensembl.